Molecule: ribosomal RNA, 188 nt
Filed under: Lactobacillus acidophilus
Lineage: Bacteria; Bacillati; Bacillota; Bacilli; Lactobacillales; Lactobacillaceae
Description: partial 16S ribosomal RNA
Rfam family: Bacterial small subunit ribosomal RNA
Source: RNAcentral
AAACAGGGGUCUAAUACCGGAUAAGAAAGCAGAUCGCAUGAUCAGCUUAUAAAAGGCGGCGUAAGCUGUCGCUAUGGGAUGGCCCCGCGGUGCAUUAGCUAGUUGGUAGGGUAACGGCCUACCAAGGCAAUGAUGCAUAGCCGAGUUGAGAGACUGAUCGGCCACAUUGGGACUGAGACACGGCCCAA